This 460-nucleotide ribosomal RNA is filed under the name uncultured bacterium. Its description in RNAcentral is "partial 16S ribosomal RNA". It matches the Rfam family "Bacterial small subunit ribosomal RNA", at positions 338 to 795 of the family's 1533-position model. The record is from RNAcentral.
CCUACGGGUGGCAGCAGUGAGGAAUAUUGGUCAAUGGACGAGAGUCUGAACCAGCCACGUAGCGUGAAGGAUGACUGCCCUAUGGGUUGUAAACUCCUUUUAUAAAGGAAUAAAACGAGGCACGUGUGCCUUUUUGCAUGUACUUUAUGAAUAAGGAUCGGCUAACUCCGUGCCAGCAGCCGCGGUAAUACGGAGGAUCCGAGCGUUAUCCGGAUUUAUUGGGUUUAAAGGGAGCGUAGAUGGGUUGUUAAGUCAGUUGUGAAAGGUUUCGGCUCAACCGUAAAAUUGCAAUUGAUACUGGCAGUCUUGAGUACAGGUGAGGUAGGCGGAAUUCGUGGUGUAGCGGUGAAAUGCUUAGAGAUCACGAAGAACCCCGAUUGCGAAGGCAGCUUACUAAACUGUGACUGACAUUGAUGCUCGAAAGUGUGGGUAUCAAACAGGAUUAGAUACCCGGGUAGUC